Molecule: ribosomal RNA, 484 nt
Filed under: uncultured Bacteroidota bacterium
Lineage: Bacteria; Pseudomonadati; Bacteroidota
Description: bacterial SSU rRNA
Rfam family: Bacterial small subunit ribosomal RNA
Source: RNAcentral
GAGUUUGAUCAUGGCUCAGGAUGAACGCUAGCGGCAGGCUUAAUACAUGCAAGUCGAGGGGCAGCAGCUUUAUAGCAAUAUAGAGGCUGGCGACCGGCAAACGGGUGCGGAACACGUACACAACCUUCCUUGAAUAGGGGGAUAGCCCAUAGAAAUGUGGAUUAAUACCCCGUAAUAUAGCGGUGUGGCAUCACACUGUUAUUAUAGUUUCGGCGAUUCGAGAUGGGUGUGCGGCUGAUUAGGUAGUUGGCGGGGUAAAGGCCCACCAAGCCUUCGAUCAGUAGCUGAUGUGAGAGCAUGAUCAGCCACACGGGCACUGAGACACGGGCCCGACUCCUACGGGAGGCAGCAGUAAGGAAUAUUGGUCAAUGGACGCAAGUCUGAACCAGCCAUGCCGCGUGAAGGAUGAAGGUCCUCUGGAUUGUAAACUUCUUUUAUAGGGGGCGAAAAAAGGUCUUCUAGAUCACUGACAGUACCGUAGUUA